AUUGAACGCUGGCGGCAGGCCUAACACAUGCAAGUCGAACGAGUGGCGGACGGGUGAGUAAUGUCUGGGAAACUGCCCGAUGGAGGGGGAUAAAUUCUGGAAACGGUAGCUAAUACCGCAUACCCUCGGAUGUGCCCAGAUGGGAUUAGCUAGUAGGAGGGGUAACGGCUCACCUAGGCGACGAUCCCUAGCUGGUCUGAGAGGAUGACCAGCCACACUGGAACUGAGACACGGUCCAGACUCCUACGGGAGGCAGCAGUGGGGAAUAUUGCACAAUGGGCGCAAGCCUGAUGCAGCCAUGCCGCGUGUAUGAAGAAGGCCUUCGGGUUGUAAAGUACUUUCAGCGGGGAGGCGUUACUCGCAGAAGAAGCACCGGCUAACUCCGUGCCAGCCGCCGCGGUAAUAC
RNAcentral lists this ribosomal RNA (406 nucleotides) under uncultured bacterium. RNAcentral's name for it is "partial 16S ribosomal RNA". It matches the Rfam family "Bacterial small subunit ribosomal RNA", at positions 30 to 526 of the family's 1533-position model. The record is from RNAcentral.